Molecule: ribosomal RNA, 274 nt
Filed under: uncultured bacterium
Lineage: Bacteria
Description: partial 16S ribosomal RNA
Rfam family: Bacterial small subunit ribosomal RNA
Source: RNAcentral
AUACGGAGGGGGCUAGCGUUGUUCGGAAUUACUGGGCGUAAAGCGCGCGUAGGCGGUUAGAUAAGUGGGAUGUGAAAGCCCCGGGCUCAACCUGGGAACUGCAUUCGAAACUGCGUAGCUAGAGUCUGAUAGAGGGAAGUGGAAUUUCCGGUGUAGCGGUGAAAUGCGUAGAUAUCGGAAGGAACAUCAGUGGCGAAGGCGACUUCCUGGAUCAAGACUGACGCUCAGGUGCGAAAGCGUGGGGAGCAAACAGGAUUAGAAACCCCGGUAGUCC